CCUACGGGGGUCAGCAGUGGGGGAUAUUGCACAAUGGGGGAAACCCUGAUGCAGCGACGCCGCGUGGGUGAAGAAGCGCCUCGGCGCGUAAAGCCCUGUCAGCAGGGAAGAAAAUGACGGUACCUGAAGAAGAAGCCCCGGCUAACUACGUGCCAGCAGCCGCGGUAAUACGUAGGGGGCAAGCGUUAUCCGGAUUUACUGGGUGUAAAGGGGGCGCAGACGGCGAUGCAAGCCAGGAGUGAAAGCCCGGGGCCCAACCCCGGGACUGCUCUUGGAAAUGCGUGGCUAGAGUGCAGGAGGGGCAGGCGGAAUUCCUGGUGUAGCGGUGAAAUGCGUAGAUAUCAGGAGGAACACCGGUGGCGAAGGCGGCCUGCUGGACUGCAACUGACGUUGAGGCCCGAAAGCGUGGGGAGCAAACAGGAUUAGAUACCCCAGUAGUC
RNAcentral lists this ribosomal RNA (440 nucleotides) under uncultured bacterium. Its description in RNAcentral is "partial 16S ribosomal RNA". It matches the Rfam family "Bacterial small subunit ribosomal RNA", at positions 338 to 795 of the family's 1533-position model. The record is from RNAcentral.